RNAcentral lists this long non-coding RNA (1426 nucleotides) under Citrus maxima (pomelo). RNAcentral describes it as "long non-coding RNA (CMAX_LNC004125)". The record is from RNAcentral. Lineage: Eukaryota; Viridiplantae; Streptophyta; Magnoliopsida; Sapindales; Rutaceae.
GAAAAGGACACAGAGACCCCCAACGUUUGAAUAAGGGACAUAAAACUCCCUAAUGUUUCAAAAAAGACACUCAGGUCCCAAUUGGUUAACAGAAACUGUUUGUUUUAACAGAAAUUAUAAUUUUAAAGUGCAAUUACCAUUAUACCCUUAUAGCAUAUUAAAAGCUAAUUGUAUUAAUAGCACACCUCCGAAAUACCCCUUUAAAUGACAACCAUCCAAUCCAAUAAACCAUCGACAUCCAUUAAUGAAUCCAUUCUUCAAAGCAACAAAGCUAAGCAUAAAUCUCUGAAACUUCUGAAACUUCAAAGCUGGUCUUCUAUCUUUAUCAAAACUAGACACAAAUUUCAUCUUUACUAACGUAUUGGGAUUGCUUUGUUUGAGUAUUUGGGCAUAAUCCCUUAGCCUCUGAUAAGAAUUUGCAUAGUUCCCAUUUAAUUUGAUAAAGAAAAUUCCAUGCACAUCUAAAAAUUGAUAAAGAAAAGAAAUAACAAAAGUAAUCAGCAAGAAUUCUCCAAUAAACCGGACAAAUUAAGAACUCUGUUCAUCAAACAACCAUAAACCAAAAAAAAAAAUUAUGUAAUCAUUUAUUUAUAUUCUUGCACAUACAUCACAUAUGCAUCAAACAUGCUAGAGAAGUUAAUUUAGUAAAAAAAAUGAAAAUUAAAGAGAAAAAAUAGGAUUUAAGAGAAUUGAACCCUGGAUUCCACAAGCAAGAGCAGCAACCAAAAGCGAGCACAAGCAGCAGCCAAACGCGAGAUUCCACAAGCAAGAGCAGCAACCAAACGCGAGCACAAGCAGCAGCCAAACACGAGCACAAGCAGCAGCCGAAAGCGAGCUCAAGCAGAAGCCGAACGCGAGCACAAGCAGCAGCCAAACGCGAGCACAAGCAGCAGGCACAAGCAGCAGCCAAACGCGAGAUUCAACAAGCAAGAUCAGCAACCAAACGCGAGCACAAGCAGCAGCCAAAUGCGAGCAAUUCCAGCAGCCAAACGCGAGCAGUUCCAAUAGCCAAACGCGAGAUUUCAGCAGUUCCAACAGCACAAGCAGCAGCCAAACGUCGAUCGCGAGCAGAUCCGGCAACUAGACUCGGUCUCGUUCGACGCACGAGUAGUUCCAGCAGCUUCCGGUAGUGUGAGCAGCAACUUCCGGCAGCCCCAGCAGCGUUCGGCAAGGCAAACCGUGAGUGUGUGUUAAAAGAUUUGUCUGGAAUCAGUGUGCGUGUGUGGGGGGUUUGUUUGUGCGUGUGAUGCGUGUGUGGGUUUUUAGUCAAUUCACUUGUUUUUAAUUUGUAAUUACGAUAUUAACCUUUUAAUGAUUUAACGAAACGAUUUCCGUUAAUUAAUUGGGACCUGAGUGUCUUUUUUGAAACAUUAGGGAGUUUUAUGUCCCUUAUUCAAACGUUGGGGGUCUCUGUGUCCUUUUCCCU